CUGGGUCUAUACCGAAUAUUCCUUGCUGGUCGCAUGGCCUGGUGGGGGACAGC
RNAcentral lists this ribosomal RNA (53 nucleotides) under uncultured Actinomycetes bacterium. RNAcentral describes it as "uncultured actinobacterium partial 16S ribosomal RNA". The record is from RNAcentral. Lineage: Bacteria; Bacillati; Actinomycetota; Actinomycetes.